GUGCUCAAUUUGACAGCAUAUAUACUGAAAUUGGAACAAUACAGAGAAGACUAGCAUGGUCCCUGUGCAAGAAUGACAGAGUUCUAAAGCAUUCUUUAUUUUU
Molecule: small nuclear RNA, 103 nt
Organism: Physeter macrocephalus (sperm whale)
Lineage: Eukaryota; Metazoa; Chordata; Mammalia; Artiodactyla; Physeteridae
Source: Ensembl